RNAcentral lists this ribosomal RNA (2127 nucleotides) under Anaerolineales bacterium. Its description in RNAcentral is "partial 23S ribosomal RNA". It matches the Rfam family "Bacterial large subunit ribosomal RNA", at positions 1 to 2037 of the family's 2925-position model. The record is from RNAcentral. Lineage: Bacteria; Bacillati; Chloroflexota; Anaerolineae; Anaerolineales.
GGCCAAGCUAUUAAGGGCAAACGGUGGAUGCCUAGGCGUUAAGAGGCGAUGAAAGACGUGGAAAGCUGCGAAAAGCAUCGGGGAGUUGCUAAACAAACUUUGAUCCGGUGAUAUCUGAAUGGGGGAACCCGGCAGGGGUAAUACCCUGUCAUCUAUGACUGAAUACAUAGGUUAUAGAAGCGAACGAGGUGAACUGAAACAUCUUAGUAACCUCAGGAAAAGAAAACAACAGUGAUUUUCAGAGUAGCGGCGAGCGAAAUGGAAAGAGCCCAAACCAAGUAUAUGUUAAAGCCUGUAAGCGUUGUAUAUUUGGGGUUGCGGGGUAUGUCCGGAUUAAAGUUACAGCUUUAUCGGAGAGUUACAAAACCAAUGGAUAGACGAAGCGUCUGGAAAGGCGCUCAAUAUAAGGUGAUAGGCCUGUAGUUGAAAUUCAUUGGUCUUUCUGGGACAUAAACCCAAGUACUGCGGGACACGAGGAAUCCUGUGGGAAUCUGUGAGGACCAUCUCACAAGGCUAAAUACUACUUAACGACCGAUAGUGAACUAGUACCGUGAGGGAAAGGUGAAAAGUACUCCGAUGAGGAGAGUGAAAUAGUACCUGAAACCGUUUGCCUACAAGCAGUGGGAGGGUCAUGUAUGGUUUAGGCCAUACGGCCUGACUGCGUGCCUUUUGCAUAAUGAGUCAGCGAGUUACUUUACGUAGCAAGGUUAAACCGCAAGAGGUGUAGCCGGAGCGAAAGCGAGUUUUAACAGAGCGUAUUAGUUGCGUGGAGUAGACCCGAAACCAAGUGAUCUAUCCAUGGUCAGAGUGAAGCGCAAGUAAAAUUGCGUGGAGGCUCGAACCGUUGUAUGUUGAAAAAUACUCGGAUGAACUGUGGAUAGGGGUGAAAGACCAAACAAACUUGGAAAUAGCUGGUUCUCCCCGAAAUAUAUUUAGGUAUAGCCUUACGAGAUGAUGGAUGGGGGUAGAGCACUGGAUGGGCUAGGGGUCCUACCAGAUUACCAAACCUAACCAAACUCCGAAUACCAUCUUAUUUAUCGUAGGAGUCAGACUGCGGGAGCUAAGUUUCGUAGUCGAGAGGGAAACAGCCCAGACCGUCAGCUAAGGUCCCCAAAUUUGUGCUAAGUGGGAAAGGAUGUGGGAGUGCACAGACAGCCAGGAUGUUGGCUUAGAAGCAGCCAUCAUUUAAAGAAAGCGUAAUAGCUCACUGGUCGAGUGAACCUGCGCCGAAAAUGUAACGGGGCUCAAGCACAAUACCGAAGCUACGGGAUAUCAGUCAAAUGAUAUCGGUAGGGGAGCAUUCUGUACGGGUUGAAGGUUUACCGUAAGGAGAGCUGCACUGUACAGAAGAGACCAUGCUGACAUGAGUAACGAUAAAGCGGGUGAAAAACCCGCUCGCCGAAAACCUAAGGAUUCCUGGGUAAAGCUAGUCUUCCCAGGGUUAGUCGAUCCCUAAGCCGAGGCCGCGAGGCGUAGGUGAUGGAAAACAGGUUAAUAUUCCUGUACCACCGAGGUAUCGUUUGAGUGAAGGGGGGAAGCAGGAGGGUAGGUCAUCCAUCUGAUGGAAUAGGUGGUUCAAGCAAGUAGGCAAAAAGCGACAGGAAAAUCCGCGCUUUUAUUUAAAUGCCGAGAUGUGAUGAGGAUCUGCGCAAGCAGAAUAAACUGACUGAUCCCAUGCUGCCAAGAAAAUCCUCUAAACGAGAUAUCGAGGUGAUCGUACCGAAAACCGACACAGGUAGGUGGGGAGAGAAUCCCAAGGCGCUUGAGAGAACCCUGGUUAAGGAACUCGGCAAAAUAACACCGUAACUUAGGGAAAAGGUGUGCCCAGGAAGGUGAAGUAAUUUACUUACGGAGCCUGAGAGGGCCGCAGAGAAAUGGCGGUAGCGACUGUUUACUAAAAACACAGGACUCUGCUAAGUCGCAAGACGAUGUAUAGGGUCUGACGCCUGCCCGGUGCUGGAAGGUUAAGGGGAGAUGUAAGCCGCAAGGCGAAGCAUUGAACCGAAGCCCCAGUAAACGGCGGCCGUAACUAUAACGGUCCUAAGGUAGCGAAAUUCCUUGUCGGGUAAGUUCCGACCUGCACGAAUGGCGUAACGACUGCCCCGCUGUCUCGACCAGGGACUCGGU